GUCUACAGCCAUGCCACCCUGAAUGUGCCCGAUCUUGUCUGAUCUCGGAAGCUAAGCAGGGUCGGGCCUGGUUAGUACUUGGAUGGGAAACCACCUCAGAAUACCAGGUGCUGUAGGCA
RNAcentral lists this ribosomal RNA (119 nucleotides) under Pteropus alecto (black flying fox). The record is from RNAcentral. Lineage: Eukaryota; Metazoa; Chordata; Mammalia; Chiroptera; Pteropodidae.